RNAcentral lists this ribosomal RNA (427 nucleotides) under uncultured bacterium. RNAcentral's name for it is "bacterial SSU rRNA". It matches the Rfam family "Bacterial small subunit ribosomal RNA", at positions 67 to 489 of the family's 1533-position model. The record is from RNAcentral.
GGGCAGCAUGUCCAGCAAUGGAUGAUGGCGACCGGCGUAAGGGUGCGUAACGCGUGAGCAACAUGCCCUAUACAGGAGGAUACUCCGGGGAAACCCGGUCUAAUACUCCAUAGUAUUAUUGAGAGGCAUCUCUUAAUAAUUAAAGCUUCGGUGGUAUAGGAUUGGCUCGCGUGACAUUAGCCAGAUGGUGAGGUAACGGCUCACCAUAGCAACGAUGUCUAGGGGUUUUGAGAGGAAGGCCCCCCACACUGGGACUGAGACACGGCCCAGACUCCUACGGGAGGCAGCAGUGAGGAAUAUUGGACAAUGGAUGGAAAUCUGAUCCAGUCAUGCCGCGUGCAGGAAGACUGCCUUAUGGGUUGUAAACUGCUUUUAUACGGGAGCAAUAAGGGUUACGUGUAGCCUGAUGAGAGUACUGUAUGAAUAA